GGCAGUGUGGCUUAGUGGUUAGAGCGCCGGAUAUGACCUGGGAGACCCGGGGUUCAAAUCCUUACUCGGCUA
Molecule: non-coding RNA, 72 nt
Organism: Podarcis lilfordi (Lilford's wall lizard)
Lineage: Eukaryota; Metazoa; Chordata; Lepidosauria; Squamata; Lacertidae
Source: the annotation of a GenBank genome assembly